RNAcentral lists this ribosomal RNA (497 nucleotides) under uncultured bacterium. Its description in RNAcentral is "partial 16S ribosomal RNA". It matches the Rfam family "Bacterial small subunit ribosomal RNA", at positions 28 to 507 of the family's 1533-position model. The record is from RNAcentral.
GAUGAACGCUGGCGGCGUGCCUAAUACAUGCAAGUCGAGCGAACGGACGAGAAGCUUGCUUCUCUGAUGUUAGCGGCGGACGGGUGAGUAACACGUGUAUAACCUACCUAUAAGACUGUGAUAACUUCGGGAAACCGUAGCUAAUACCGGAUAAUAUUUUGAACCGCAUGGUUCAAAAGUGAAAGACGGUCUUGCUGUCACUUAUAGAUGGAUCCGCGCUGCAUUAGAUAGUUGGUAAGGUAACGGCUUACCAAGGCAACGAUGCAUAGCCGACCUGAGAGGGUGAUCGGCCACACUGGAACUGAGACACGGUCCAGACUCCUACGGGAGGCAGCAGUAGGGAAUCUUCCGCAAUGGGCGAAAGCCUGACGGAGCAACGCCGCGUGAGUGAUGAAGGUCUUCGGAUCGUAAAACUCUGUUAUUAGGGAAGAACAUAUGUGUAAGUAACUGUGCACAUCUUGACGGUACCUAAUCAGAAAGCCACGGCUAACUACGUG